UAUUGGUCAAUGGGCGGGAGCCUGAACCAGCCAAGCCGCGUGAGGGAAAACGGUCCUACGGAUUGUAAACCUCUUUUGCCGGGGAGCANNGGGGUACUUGCGAGGGCCCAAUGAGAGUACACGGAGAAAAAGCAUCGGCUAACUCAGUGCCAGCAGCCGCGGUAAUACGGAGGAUGCGAGCGUUAUCCGGAUUUAUUGGGUUUAAAGGGUGCGUAGGCGGGAUGCCAAGUCAGCGGUCAAAUACGGGGGCUCAACCUGCGUCCGCCGUUGAAACUGGCGUUCUUGAGUGGGCGAGAAGUACGCGGAAUGCGUGGCGUAGCGGUGAAAUGCAUAGAUAUCACGCAGAACCCCGAUUGCGAAGGCAGCGUACCGGCGCCCUACUGACGCUGAAGCACGAAAGCGUGGGUAUCGAACAGG
RNAcentral lists this ribosomal RNA (417 nucleotides) under uncultured bacterium. RNAcentral describes it as "bacterial SSU rRNA". It matches the Rfam family "Bacterial small subunit ribosomal RNA", at positions 362 to 776 of the family's 1533-position model. The record is from RNAcentral.